CUCUCUUUGCUAUCUGUGUAUAAAGAGUUGGGCCUGCUCGGUGAACAAAAGUUUUAACAGCUGCGGUAUUUUAACUGUACUAAGGUAGCAUAAUAAUUUGCCUUAUAAUUUGAGGCUAGAAUGAAUGGUUUGACGAAGGUUAAUCUGUCUCUAUUUUAUUUUUUAGAAUUUAAUUUUCAAAGUGAUAAAGCUUAAAUACUUUAAAGGGACGAGAAGACCCUAUUGAGCUUAUAAUUUUAUGGUUGUUAAUACUAUUUAUUUGUUCAGCAAUUUAUAAAUUUUAAUUGGGGUGAUUAAGGAAUAAAUAAUAUAGUAACUUCCUUAGAUUGAAAUAUUGUUAGAUCAAGUAACCAAUGUAUUAUUGCUUUUAUAAUAGUUACCAUAGGGAUAACAGCGUAAUCUGUUUAGAGAGUCCUUAUUGAAAAACGGGAUUGCGACCUCGAUGUUGGAUUAAAGUAACCUCAGGGUGCAGAAGCUCUAUUAGGUAAAUCUGUUCGAUUUUUAAAACUUUAC
This 513-nucleotide ribosomal RNA is filed under the name Leachia pacifica. RNAcentral's name for it is "partial 16S ribosomal RNA". It matches the Rfam family "Bacterial large subunit ribosomal RNA", at positions 1816 to 2599 of the family's 2925-position model. Lineage: Eukaryota; Metazoa; Mollusca; Cephalopoda; Oegopsida; Cranchiidae. The record is from RNAcentral.